UACGUAGGGUGCGAGCGUUAAUCGGAAUUACUGGGCGUAAAGCGUGCGCAGGCGGUUUUGUAAGCCAGAUGUGAAAUCCCCGGGCUCAACCUGGGAACUGCAUUUGGGACUACAAGGCUAGAGUGUGUCAGAGGGGGGUAGAAUUCCACGUGUAGCAGUGAAAUGCGUAGAGAUGUGGAGGAAUACCGAUGGCGAAGGCAGCCCCCUGGGAUAACACUGACGCUCAUGCACGAAAGCGUGGGGAGCAAACAGG
Molecule: ribosomal RNA, 253 nt
Filed under: uncultured bacterium
Lineage: Bacteria
Description: partial 16S ribosomal RNA
Rfam family: Bacterial small subunit ribosomal RNA
Source: RNAcentral